RNAcentral lists this long non-coding RNA (954 nucleotides) under Marmota monax (woodchuck). The record is from RNAcentral. Lineage: Eukaryota; Metazoa; Chordata; Mammalia; Rodentia; Sciuridae.
UAACAAUAAGAAUUGGGGGGAAAAAAACAAGAAUUGGGAAAAAAGCAGCACUCUUCAUUGUCUAGCAUUUUUCAGCCUAUGUGAGCUUGCGCAGGUGUGCCUUCCCAUCGCUAUGGCGGAGCAGAAAGCGCAAAGCCACGGAGUCAGGUGGAGCGAGGUUUCUGUCCUUGCUCUGUCUCUGCCUAGCUGCCUGACCCUGGGCAAGUUACUUCUCCUGACUGAGCCGUGGUUUCCUGGUCUUAGAGAGAGAACGGUCACUCCCCUCUGCAAGGGUGACUGUGAGGAUUAGAAAUAAUGGGACAGACACAGUGCCAGGCACAUUGGAGGCCUUCAGCAAAGGAAGCCUUCUACUCUUGGCUUCUCUGAGAUUGGGGUCGUCUAGGAGUAGGUGUUGUGACAGGUGGAGAAGCACUGGAUGGGAAACACAGUAAUACUGGGGACAGAAUGGAGGGCAGUGGGCAAGGAAGGGAAAGGAAAUAGCUGAUGAAAUAGCCACUAGAAGGAAAUUGGGCUAGAAAACAAGCACCCCCCUUGUCAGUUGAGCCUGUGCACCUGAUGGGAUAAUCAGGGUGGUAAAAGGCGUUGAAGGAAAAAAUUCCAAAACCCAAGCUGUCCUGCACAGCCGGACCUCACAGUGGAGGUUCCAUGAGGCCUCCACAGCAUUUACUUGGCUCCCUUUUAUUUUCUUGUGCUCUUCCCCAUUCCCCGGGCUUGCAUCUGACUUUCUCUGUGGGUGGAGACGGCUCCUGGGAGCAUCCAUGGAGGCAGGCUCUGUAUUGAGCAGCCCAUGAAGACAGAGGAUGAGCCGCCGGCUGGGGCCAACAGGACAAGUAGACAGGCAGCUCAGGACUGUGCCUGGGGGUGAGGCAGGGAGCAAACGCGGAGCCCAGGUCAUAUUAUUUCAGAGCUAGAAGUGUUUGGACCACUCUAUCUCCGUCUGGAGGGUAUCUUGAC